RNAcentral lists this long non-coding RNA (2770 nucleotides) under Homo sapiens (human). RNAcentral describes it as "HSALNT0264418". The record is from RNAcentral. Lineage: Eukaryota; Metazoa; Chordata; Mammalia; Primates; Hominidae.
ACCUUCUUGUUGAAAAGCACUGCAUCAGGUUUUUGUCUUCUUGCUUUGUCCAGUCCUCUUUGGAGUGGUAUACUCACUAUACUUAUUAUAUAAUAAACAAUGAAUUUUGUCCAAGUCUGCCUUAAAAGUAAAGGAACUAAUGAUAUAAAGGAGAAAAUUGAAAGACAAUGUCAAACUAUUGGGUGACUUAUGUGAAAAGACCAUGAAUAAUCAUUUACAAGAUUGUGCAGUAUCCACUUCAGAAGCAACUUAAUGAAGAGCUGAUGUUUGAAUGUAUUAAUCAUUAGUUCACUUUUUACUGUUCUAGAUGAUGGCAAUGUGGAUUCUCAUGGUCAUUUGAAACCCAUGGGGGAAAAUGGCUCUUCCUGUAUUCAGGCCCUUUGUAGUGUGACUUUGUGGCAACUCCCAUCAAUAGGUAGAUUAUUGUUUACCCCUCAAAUCUGGGUUGGCCACUAUGACUUUCUUUGUCUGACAGCAUGUAGGAGAAGUAUUGUUGUGGCAUUUCCGAACCUAGACCUCAAAAAGGCCUUGCCCUUGUCUUUCUUCUCUUAGACCCUGUCCAUCAGCCAGGUGAGCAAGCCUGGGCUAGUUAGCUGAAGGAUAAGAGACCAUGUGGAGGAAGCCAGAGGAGCCAUCCAUCUGGGGCCACCCAAGGUCAGCCAGCACCUCUAAUCACAGAGCCACGAGGGAGUUAGCCCAGAUUUAGAAGGUGAGGAUAUUGACUUCAUCUCUUGAUGCAAGGAGUUGCAGUUACAUUGCAAAGGGAUGCAGAUACAGGGAAGGUUGGAGAAUUGCAGCCACUUUUGCACAAUCUACCACAACUACUGCAUUGUAGCUGCUAUGCACAUUAAAUAAGUAAAGACAUAUGAAACAUUUAUAUCAGGUCCUGACAACAAAUAAGUGUUCAACAAGUGUGAGCUAUUAUUACUGUUUCUAAAAUGGAUCCCUUAUCAUGGAGAAGGUCAAAUUAAUGCUGCCGUGCCUCUUACUCUUAGAAACUGACACUGAAAGUUCCCACAUAACUGAGGUUCAAUCUAUGAGCACAUCCAGAAACUCAAGUGAGGGAAAAUGCAAUCAAACCACAUAUGAAAAAUCAAUAGAUCCCUAAAUAAUCUUUCCCUCCUGAAUGGAAGCAACACAUUUGAAAACUCUUCUCCCUCCACCCCUACCAAAAAAAAAAAAAAAAAAAAAAAAAGCAGUGCAUGUUGCCUCUUCUAUUCAGGCUGUGACCAAAGGUUUCAAUGGUAAAGAUGACUCAUACCUUAAAGAACUAGAAGAAUUUUUUUUAUGGCUUCUCUAUCCAUUGUCUUGCUCUCAUAAAACUGCUGAAUGACACCCAAGUGUAAAACCCACCAAAGAAAUAAGCGCUGGAUGACAUGUGGCAGAUUUUCCAACUCUCCAGGAAAAACUUCAGAUCAACUUGUUUCUCUGGAAACUACUCACAUCCGGGGGCUGUCCCUGUCCCCUGGGACUCAUAAACGUUCCUAUCUUCAAGGCACAGUUACCUGAGCAAGUGAUCCUGAUAUGUAGGUGCUGUUGGCCUCCAGUCUCACACAUCAACUCACCAAUCAUGGAGAAGAAGUUAGAUGACUUCCUGUCACCUGUCAUUUGUGCAUUUUCUCCAAAUCCUCAAUCCCUUCCAGUCAAUUUGAAAAUAGAAGGCUUGGCAAGGUGGCUCACAACUGUAUUCUUCUUAGCACUUUGGGAGGCUGAAGUGGGAGGAUCAUUUGAGCCCAGGAGUUUGAGAUCAUCCUGGACAACACAGUGAGACUCCAUCUCUACAAGAUAAAUAAAUAAAUAAAUAAAUAAAUAAAUAAAUAAAUAAAUAAGCCUGGCGCGGUGGCACAUGCCAGUAGUCCCAGCUACUUGGGAAGCUGAGGUGGAAGGAUCGCUUGAGCCCAGGAGGUCGAAGCUGUGGUUGUGAUCAUACCACUGCACUCCAGCGUGAGCAACAAAGACAAGUUUAAAUCCUGGCCCAGCAAAGAGAAGGGCUCUGGACCUGAGAUCAUCCAUCAUGGACAACCUCUCUGCCAAGAAAAGCCCAGGGCUACUUCCUUAGGAAGGGUCUUUGGACCAGGGCAUUUCAGCAAGAAGGGGAAAAUUGGACAUGACUGGCACUUAAACAAACCCAACAGGUGCAGACUGUAAAUUGGCAAAGUGACAUCAUCAGUAGAAAAUCAGACUACAGAAAUCGAGAAGCUUGGCAUAGCCCUUCUCUUUCCAGUCCACUUGACCUGGUGCUAACCACACAACUGCCUUAAGCCUUAAUUUUCUCAUGGAGAUGGAAAUGGGUUAUUGGGAAAUUCAAAUCAGAUAAUUUACGUGAAAAUAUGUUAUAAUCUCUGAGAUGUAAAGCGUGACCACCAGAGUUUAAAAAGAAUAGAAGCAAGAAGACAAGCUGAGUCACUAACUUGCCAGGGAAGUGAACACACUCCAGGGAAGAAAUUCACUCAAUGAUUCCAACUCUGGCAGCAGAUAGCUGCCAAGCUGUUAGCAAUCCUGUGGAUGAAGCCACAUGGCAAGCAAGCGAUUGUUGCUUACCCAGCAACAGCCAGUGAAGACCUGAGACCUCCUACCAGCACCCACAUGAGGGAGCUUGGAAGCGGAUCCUCUCCAGUCAAGCCUUGAGAUGACAGCAGCCCCAGCUGAUAUCUUGAUUGCAGCCUCAUGAGAUCCUGAGUCAGAGGCACUCAGCUUAAGCUACAGCCUGGAUUCCUGACUCAGAGAAACUGAGAUAAUAAGUGUUUGUUGUCUUAUGCCAUUAAGUUUC